AUUUCAAAGGGAACAACUUCGAGUAUCUGCCAUUUGGGGCAGGAAGAAGAAUGUGUCCAGGCAUGUCAUUUGGUUUAGCCUCCAUUAUGCUUCCUCUAGCUCUAUUACUUUAUCAUUUCAACUGGAAACUUCCAAAUGGGAUCAAACCUCAGGAUUUGGAUAUGACAGAAAACUUUGGAUUAGCAAUUAGAAGGAAGGGUGUGUUGUGUUUGAUUCCUACUGUUUACGAUCCCUCACUGCACCAGUCACAGUAGCCAUUAUAAUAUUAACUGCACUUCACGACGAGGGAGAACCGUUUCGUCUAUCAGAAAUAAAAUAUAAUUAAUGGUUCACACUUUCAUAUUACAGAACUUGUCAUUUGUUAUUUUUAUUGUAUCUUUCCGUUCAUAUCAGGUUAUAUAUGGAUACAUAUAUUUCUGUCUUCAAAAUCAAAGCAUGAGGUGUGCGUUUAUUAUUUUUCAAAAGUCUUAUCAAUAUUUGGUAUAGUAGGAGAAAGUUUUAAUACCUAUAUAAGAAAAGAUAGCAACGUAUAUAAGUAUAUAUAUAACGUGUGAUAUAAAAGAAUAUAAAUAUGGAGAAAAUUUCCUUUCAUGUUCACAUUUUUGUCCUCUUUUAAUAAUAAAAUAUAAUAUUUAACUAAUAAAAAUAAAGAUCAACAAAAACUUUUAAAUAAAAUAACAAUUAUUUUAUUAUUAAAUAGAAAUAAUAAUAGUUUCAAAAAUAUCACCACCCACUAUAAUUACAACAACCCGCCAACUACACUUCCAAUGCCCGUUGAAACUAUUAUUGAGCCUAAUAAAAAUUAGGUAAUGUUUUUGUGUGAAUUAUACGUGUAGAAGGUAUCAUUGCUAAAGGAGUGUGGUUCUAUGUUUUAAAUGGAUUGAGAUUAGCACAUGUUACACACAAAUAGAAUUUGGUCGUAGCUUUGGAUGAAACAUAAACUAAGAACUUUUAAUUACUCUUUUUCAGAUUGGCACUUUAACCUUGUCUAAUGCAUCAAGAGUUAUCUGCAAUGGAAGGGGGUGAGCAUAGGUGAGUCUUAUUCGGUGGUGAAGCCUUGACAGGUGGACUUCCCUAGAAGAAUGGGGAAGGAGAUGCCAUAAGUAAGUUAACACAGCUUCUCAUGAGGGAAGAGCCAGGGUUCAGACUUUCGCUAAGCUGGGUUGUGCAGAAAUAGCAUUAGUGGGUGUUUGAAAAGCUGAAGUUUGAGGAUUUGCAGGCUAAGCAUGGAAUCUGUUAUGCUGGUGUUUUUUGAGCCUCACGGAUCUGGUUUUAUAUAAUUGGCAUAGCAAACACUGUCCUGUUAGUUUAAUUCCAUUUGCAUCUAUUUAUGCAACUUGGGGCUCAGCUGGUGUGCCACUCUAGUGUGUUUUCUACCUCUGUUCUUUGCAGCACAGAGGUGUGUAGGGAAGCUAUAGCAUGAUGUAGUAUGGUGCAAUAGGUCUUGAAAGGGAACUAUGAUGCAUAAUAGUUACCUAGCCACUAUAUUUUUCAUAGGAUGCUACAAAUUUGGAAAAUUGAUAAAAAUAGUGCAGUUUACUUUCAAUAUUACACAAAUGGACAAAUGUAGAAAAAAUGAGUCAAAGUUGUCAACAACAUCAAUUAAAUCUACAAUUUGUCCCUUUUUUUUUUAAUUAAAGUUGUCAAUCGGAUUAUCUUCUUGUCCUCGUGGUUGAUCAUCUCUUCAACUCAUCAUUCCUUAAUUCUUCAACUAACUUGCUUCUCAGUCCCACGAUGGACGUCAAAAUGUGCUUACAGGGCCUUCAAAACAAUUAGUAUUCUUCUCCUCUUCUCAGUGUCUUGGACUUUCACUGUUGUCUUGGACUUUGGGUCACAAGGUUCACUAUCUUGGGUUUGGGUUAGUUCUCGGUUGUGGGAUGGACUCUCACUUAUCUUGCUUGGUCAGGUUCAACUCUCGACUUCUAGGCUCAGAAUCAACUCUCGGGUGGAUGUGUGUAUCUGUAAAGGGCUUUAAUGAUAAAGACUCUCACUUAUCUUGCUUGGUCAGGUUCAACUCUCGACUUCUAGGCUUAGAAUCAACUCUCGGGUGGAUGUGUGUAUCUGCAAAGGGCUUUAAUGAUAAAGUCAGAAUCAGUUUGCUUAAUUAUUAGAUAAAAAUCACUUUACUUACCUUUAUAGCAUAUCACUUAUUUAUAGCGCUCACUUAUUGAAUUUUUGAUUUAAUUGAAUUUUUACUGUAAAUAUUUUGAACCUAUGUAUUAAAUUUUGGUUCAGUGUUUUCUGAUUUUAUUAUUUAUUUAUUUUAAUUUAGUUUUUCAUUAUAUUGACGACCUGUCAACCUUUCAACUUAACCACUACACAAACCAAUUCUAAUAUUGCUCAAAUUCGCAUACCAUUAUGAAAUCCCUCCAUCACCAUAAAUUAUAUUUGGACUCUUUUCUUAAGUUUUUUCAGCUCCCAUACUUUGAGUCAAGGGCUUUCCUCCACGGCUUUCACAGUUAAUAUUCUCUCUUUUUUUACUUUAUCCAAAAAUAAAAUUUGGUUUACCUCCAAAAUUAUAUAUAUAUAUAUAUAUAGAAUUAUUUGUUUNNNNNNNNNNNNNNNNNNNNNNNNNNNNNNNNNNNNNNNNNNNNNNNNNNNNNNNNNNNNNNNNNNNNNNNNNNNNNNNNNNNNNNNNNNNNNNNNNNNNNNNNNNNNNNNNNNNNNNNNNNNGGAAAGUCAAUAACUUCUAAGGUGAAUCAUAAGAUACAUAUAUAUUCUGAUUUAAUUAAAAAAAUGCAGCCUAAUAAUAAUUCUAAAUUUUAAAAUCAUUUUUCUAACCGAGAAUUAAAAAUUUAAAUUGACAAAGCUUUUCAGAUUUGUAUCUGUAUAGUUAACCGGAACUGAUUGUAUAAUUACUAAUGUGUCGGUAAUCUCCCCACUUAUUUGAGUUUUUCUUCUCAUUUGUUAAUGUUCGGUCGGGAUUGACCUAAAAAAGAUGCUUUAACGAUCGAGUAAGUACUAUAUGUAAAAAGUGUAUAUUUGUAAACUGAUUAAAACGUAUCUUACACCUCUGCAAAUGGUUCAUUUAUAGUGUUGGUCACGAGUUCUUGUUGUGAUGGGCCGAAUAUCAAUUGUUCAUUGAUGUGUAUCGUGAUCCCUGAUUUAUAGGGAAAUAUAUUCAUAUAUAGGUAUAGUGGUAUAUUUGAAGAAUAUUUGUAUCAUUUUUUAGUUAAUCAGUAUUUAGUUGAUUUAUUGAACAUAUUUCCCGCAUAAUCCAAAACAUGAAUAUGACUCAUAAAGAACUCUUGUAACUGUCGUUGUUGUCAUUUAUUAAGUGUCUUGAAAUGUUGUUUCCUUGACACGGUCGGUCACCAAGGUCGAGACUGGCUCGUCCGGUAUCGAUCAGUACACUUGCCCCAGGCUUGAAGAAAUUAUUAGUUUCUGAAGAGUCGUGAACUGGUUGUACAAUUGUUAAAGUGUCGGUGAUCUCCUCGCUCCUUCCUUCGAGUCUCCUUCCUUCGAGUCUCCUUCCUCAAUUGUUGGUGUUCGGUCGGGUUGACCAAAAAAUGUACUCUGUCGAUCAAGUAAAUACUCUGUGUAAAGAGUGCAUAUUUGUAAAUUGAUUAAAACGUACCUUACACCUCUGGAAAUGGUUUAUUUAUAGUGUUGGUCAUGGGUCCUUGUUGUGAUGGACUGAAUAUCAAUUGUCCAUUAAUGUGUAUCGUGAUCCUUGAUUUACAGGGAGAUAUAUUGGUACAUAGAUAUGUUGGUAUAUCUGAAAAAUAUAUGUAUCAUCUUUCACUUAAUCAAUAUUUAGCUGAUUUGUCGGAGAUACUUCCCACAUAAUCAGGGACAUAAAUAUAAUUCAUAAGAGCUAUUGUGAUUGUCGUUAUUGUCAUUUAUUAAGUAUCUUGAAAUAUUUCUUGAUAUAGUCGGUCAAUCACCAAAAUCGAUACUGACUCGUCAGGUACCAACCGGUAUAAGAUUAAAAACUAAAGAAAAAAAAAGUAUUUUAUCUUUUCUUAGCUAAGCAGAAAAAAUAUGUAAAUUCUUCUUCAAUAAGGAAAUUUUAAACUCUACCAAUAUGUUCAAGGAACUCAAUUAUUUUCCAUGUGUUUAAUGUUGUUGUUAUUUUCCAUGUGUUUAACGUCGUUGGAAAAAGUAAGUAGAUUAAUCUUUGUGUAUUGACAAAGUUUCGUUCUUAAUUGUUACUUGUCAGAGCAUAAAUAUAAUUUUUUUGGUGAUUCAAAAUACAAGUUCAUCAUUUCUCCUAUUUCAAGUCUUAAUAGUCAACAGGACAUAAGAUGUUAUAAAUAGAAACCAGCAUGGCAGCAACUAAUGAAACCUCGUACACAUACAACUUGAGUUGAGAGUUAAAGAGCCUCUUUCAAUAGCUAAUAGGUACCAUGGAAAUCAAUGAACCCUCCUUUUGGGGUAUUACCUUCCUUCUAUUGUUGUUGUUGCCUUGGUUUGCAAAAUAUUUCAAGCCAAAGUUUAGUCACAAACUGCCCCCUGGCCCAAGGAAGUUACCUAUCAUAGGGAACCUGCAUCAACUAGCAGUAGCAGGUUCACUUCCACACGUUGCUAUUCGAGACCUUGCCAAAAAAUAUGGCCCUCUCAUGCACCUUCAACUUGGUCAAAUUUCAGCAGUGAUUGCAUCCUCCCCCGAGAUGGCAAAGGAGAUAAUGAAAACCCAUGAUGUUGCUUUUGCUCAGAGACCCAAAAUUGUUCCAGCUCAGAUUUUCACCUAUGGGGGAUUAGACAUUGCUUUUUCCCCAUAUGGUGACUACUGGAGGCAGAUGAAGAAAAUAAGCAAGUUAGAGCUUCUUAGCGCCAAGAAGGUGCAGUCUUUCUCUUUUAUCAGAGAACAAGCCGCAGCAAAGUUCAUAGAAGCAAUUGAGUCAUCCGCGGGGUCAGAAAUCAACCUUACCAGCAGAAUUUCCAACCUCAUAAGCACUUCUGUGUUCAAGGCAGCUUUUGGGAACAUGAGCGGGGACCAAGACGAGUUUGAGUCUUUGCAGAAGCAUUUAGCGAUACAUCUUGGAGGACUUGACAUCACUGAUUUGUUUCCUUCCAUGGAGUUCAUACAUGUUCUAACUGGUAAAAGGUCCAAGUUGGAGAAAUUGCAGAAGCGGCUUGAUAGGAUCUACGACAACAUUGUUACUCAACAUGAGGAAAAGCUCCCCAGAGUGCAAGAAAGAACCCUGGAAGCAGAAGAGGAGGAUCUUGUUGAUGUUCUUCUUAGAGUCCAAAAAAGUGGGAGCCUCGGGAUCAACAUCACCAUCAAACACAUCAAAGCUAUGGUUUCGGUGAGUCAAUUAAUGCCACAAAAUUAUAUCUAUAAUUUCCACUGCCCACAUAAUUCACCUGAAUUCCUAUCUCCAUAAAUAAAUUAGGAAGAUGAUGGUUUUACAAUUUUUUCAUUCCAUCAAUUCAUAAUUAUUUUAUAAUAAUAGCAAUGUUUUGAAUUAAUAUAAUAUUUUAAUAAAUAUUAGUUCUUUAUCUAUCAUUAUUUAAUAAAUUAUAUAUAUUUAGCAAACUUGUUUCGAAUUUUACUCAAACUUCAGUUAUGGCUUUUAAAAUCUAGAAAGACCAAAAACAUGAAGAUAAUAAUCUCACCAUUCAAACAAAUCGUAAUUUACUAAAGUUGAUAAACAUAUGUAGUGAAUAAUGAUCCUUUAAACAAUUUUAGACUCAUUUCUUUUGUCUCAAAAUAAAAGACUCUUUCGAAAUGUUUGUCCUCUUUAUAAGAUUUUUGUCUAAUCAUCCAUUGUAUUAUUAAUUAUGCUUUCGUCUAAAUACCUAGGUUGGGUUUCGAUGAAGAAUUUUGACAUUUGAAAUGCUUAAAAUUUUUAAUUUUUAAUUUUUUAAAUUAUUUGUCUUGAUAAAUUAAUUCAGUUUUUUUUUAAUUUAGUAUAUUAAUUUCUACUUUAUGUACAAAGACAUAUUCUAAAAAAUAAAUUUUAAUAUAAUAUACUAAAAAAAUUAUUAAAUAAAAGCAAAUCUUAAAGAUAAAAAAUAAUUAAUUAUUAUAUUGAUUAAAACAAUAUAUAAUUUAAUUAAUACACUUAAAAAAAUUACUAAAUAGAAACAAAUUCUAAUGACCAAAAUAAUUAAAUACUAAUUGACUAAAUUAAAUACCAUUUUAUAAACUAAAAAAAUUAUUGGUAUUUAAAAUAGUUUCUUUUAUUAAUAAAAAUUUAUAAAGUAAUUUCUAAAUUUGCAUUUAAUAAUUAGCUAUCAAAAUUUUAGUAUUAAUAGCUAUGUAGCACAGAUACGGAUACAGAUACUGAUACAACACAGAGAUAUGUAUAAUUUCUAAAAUGUAGGACAUGGGGACACGGAUCUAUAUAUUAUAUAAUUUUGAAUUAUAUAAAUUGAAAAUAAAUAUUUAUGUGCAAAAGUAUGUUUCAGAUUCUUUUGGGAGCAAGAAGAUAUUUUUCAUGACUAGUUCAAAAGAAUUUGUUCCUUAUUUUUAUAAUCAUAAUAAAAAUUUAUACAAUAAAUUUGAGUUUUUAGAAAAUUACUGUAUUUAUACCUUUUAAAAUUGUGUUAGAACCGUGUUAUAAUUUUAAAAAAUACAACAAAUAUUUUUUGAAUUAAACACUUUACCAAUAAGUGUCAUAUGAGUGUCGACACUGAUACGUGUGUCCGACACGGAUACGUAUGUCCGACACGGAUACGUCUAUAUAAGAUAAGUGUCUGAGCUUCAUAGAUUAAUAGUCAAUACCAUGCACGAUUGUUUGAGUAGUAUUUUAUAUUGUUGGAGAAAUUGUUAUAUAAUUAUAGUUUUAGUCGAUUUUCUUGUGAUCUAUAAUCCAGUUUUAUUAAUCUUCUUUCUUAAACUGAAAAUUUGGGUUGUGACGUGAAAGGUGAAGAAAGUAUAGUGAGAGGAGCAGGUAAUAAUUUUUGAUACUGUGUAGGAUAUAUUUAUUGCUGGAAUUGAUACCUCAGAAUCGAUCAUGGAGUGGAGCAUGACAGAAAUGAUGAGAAACCCAACAGUGAGGGAGAAGGCACAAGCUGAGUUAAGACAAGCAUUUAAAGGGAAGAGAAUAAUCCAUGAGAGUGAUUUAGAGGAAAUUAGUUAUUUGAAGUUGGUGAUCAAAGAGACAUUGAGACUGCAUCCUCCUGUUCCCUUGUUGCUUCCUAGAGAAUGCUCUGAAGCAACCAUCAUUGAUGGCUAUGAAAUACCUAUGAAGACUAAAAUCAUGGUAAAUGUAUGGGCAAUGGGAAGAGAUCCUCAAUAUUGGGAUGAUGCUGAGAGGUUUAUGCCAGAGAGGUUUGAUGGUAGUUCCACUGAUUUCAAAGGGAACAACUUCGAGUAUCUGCCAUUUGGGGCAGGAAGAAGAAUGUGUCCAGGCAUGUCAUUUGGUUUAGCCUCCAUUAUGCUUCCUCUAGCUCUAUUACUUUAUCAUUUCAACUGGAAACUUCCAAAUGGGAUCAAACCUCAGGAUUUGGAUAUGACAGAAAACUUUGGAUUAACAAUUAGAAGGAAGGGCGUGUUGUGCUUGAUUCCUACUGUUUACGAUCCCUCCCUGCACCAGUGACAGUAGC
This 7497-nucleotide long non-coding RNA is filed under the name Phaseolus vulgaris (common bean). RNAcentral's name for it is "long non-coding RNA (PVUL_LNC004304)". Lineage: Eukaryota; Viridiplantae; Streptophyta; Magnoliopsida; Fabales; Fabaceae. The record is from RNAcentral.